This 277-nucleotide ribosomal RNA is filed under the name uncultured prokaryote. RNAcentral describes it as "partial 16S ribosomal RNA". It matches the Rfam family "Bacterial small subunit ribosomal RNA", at positions 524 to 801 of the family's 1533-position model. The record is from RNAcentral.
AACGUAGGGGCCAGCGUUGUCCGGAAUUACUGGGCGUAAAGAGCGCGUAGGCGGUUUGGUUAGCGGAGGGUGCAAUCCAGAGGCUCAACCUCUGAACUGCUCUCCGAACUGCCAGACUUGAGUACGGGAGAGGGUAGUGGAAUUCCUGGUGUAGCGGUGGAAUGCGUAAAUAUCAGGAGGAACACCCGUGGCGAAGGCUGCUACCUGGAACGUUACUGACGCUGAGGCGCGAAAGCUAGGGGAGCGAACGGGAUUAGAUACCCCUGUAGUCCCUGAG